UGCAAGUUGAGGAUCCACUUGCAUGCCCUACCUGCCUAAGCUCCUUUACAAGAGAUCAAUAACGACAACCACCUUGUAAUGUAUCCUCUCAUUUCUCUCUAUCUUUCUCUCUCUCCUCAUUUACCUAGCUCGAAUCUCAUCUCCAAAGGCAACAAACAAGAGCAAAAAGAAGAGAAGAAAAAAGAAAACCCCUUCAUUUCAGCAACAAAACUAAUGCAACUUGUACUACAAAAAUAUUUAUACUAACCCACUCCUUACCUUGCCGUCUCCAACACCCUCUCAUAUAUAUGUUUUUGCUUAUUAUUCAACAUCAUCAACAAAUCACACACACACACAAACACAAAGUGAUAUAUAUCUCCGGAGAGAAGAAGAAACAAAGAGAUUCAUUUUUAGUUACUAUUAUUUUUAUUAUCACUUCACUCAUACUAAUAACAAUGCCUUCUUCUCUUCAGUUGGAUAGGUUCAAUCCUAUCACCGACGCCGUCACCACCGCCACCGUCGCCAUCGCCANNNNN
This 515-nucleotide long non-coding RNA is filed under the name Glycine max (soybean). Its description in RNAcentral is "long non-coding RNA (GMAX_LNC004023)". The record is from RNAcentral. Lineage: Eukaryota; Viridiplantae; Streptophyta; Magnoliopsida; Fabales; Fabaceae.